Molecule: ribosomal RNA, 845 nt
Filed under: Didysimulans mezzanensis
Lineage: Eukaryota; Fungi; Ascomycota; Dothideomycetes; Pleosporales; Didymellaceae
Description: eukaryotic LSU rRNA
Rfam family: Eukaryotic large subunit ribosomal RNA
Source: RNAcentral
UGCCCUAGUAACGGCGAGUGAAGCGGCAACAGCUCAAAUUUGAAAUCUGGCGUCUUUGGCGUCCGAGUUGUAAUUUGCAGAGGGCGCUUUGGCAUUGGCAGCGGUCCAAGUUCCUUGGAACAGGACGUCACAGAGGGUGAGAAUCCCGUACGUGGUCGCUAGCCUUUACCGUGUAAAGCCCCUUCGACGAGUCGAGUUGUUUGGGAAUGCAGCUCUAAAUGGGAGGUAAAUUUCUUCUAAAGCUAAAUACUGGCCAGAGACCGAUAGCGCACAAGUAGAGUGAUCGAAAGAUGAAAAGCACUUUGGAAAGAGAGUUAAAAAGCACGUGAAAUUGUUGAAAGGGAAGCGCUUGCAGCCAGACUUGCCUGUAGUUGCUCAUCCGGGUUUUUACCCGGUGCACUCUUCUAUAGGCAGGCCAGCAUCAGUUUGGGCGGUUGGAUAAAGGUCUCUGUCAUGUACCUCUCUUCGGGGAGAUCUUAUAGGGGAGACGACAUGCAACCAGCCUGGACUGAGGUCCGCGCAUCUGCUAGGAUGCUGGCGUAAUGGCUGUAAGCGGCCCGUCUUGAAACACGGACCAAGGAGUCUAACAUCUAUGCGAGUGUUUGGGUGUCAAGCCCGAGCGCGUAAUGAAAGUGAACGGAGGUGGGAACCUUUCGGGGUGCACCAUCGACCGAUCCUGAUGUCUUCGGAUGGAUUUGAGUAAGAGCAUAGCUGUUGGGACCCGAAAGAUGGUGAACUAUGCUUGAAUAGGGUGAAGCCAGAGGAAACUCUGGUGGAGGCUCGCAGCGGUUCUGACGUGCAAAUCGAUCGUCAAAUUUGGGCAUAGGGGCGAAAGACUAAUCGAA